RNAcentral lists this long non-coding RNA (1092 nucleotides) under Phoenix dactylifera (date palm). RNAcentral describes it as "long non-coding RNA (PDAC_LNC014093)". The record is from RNAcentral. Lineage: Eukaryota; Viridiplantae; Streptophyta; Magnoliopsida; Arecales; Arecaceae.
UUUAUUUCUUUUUAUUUUUUGUUUUUAUUGCUGAGAAAUGUGAUCGCCAUGCAUUUGCAUGCAUCCUUGGAUGAUAAAUUGCAGAGUUGUUGAAGUUAAAUAUGAGUAGUUUGGGGUGUCACAAAAUAUGAUGUAAGGUCUUACUGGAUGUUCAGCGCAUAUCUUCUCCCCAUGCCCAAUGUUCAGCACCAUCUGGAAAGCAAUCUGCUGAGAACUGGGGGUUCUUCAUGCACAAUCCUUUUUCGACUAUCUCUGCACUGAAUGGGUCCAGCAGAACUUUGCUAAGAACAGCCGGCACAUUAUACUAAUGGUGCUCGUAGCCGUGGCUUGGUCUUGUUAAAGAGAAAGGAACGCCAGACUUUUCCUUAACAAACACAGACCCAUUGCCUCAAUUGCGACUGAAGCACUGCAUACAUUCAAUGGUUGGUCACUAAUCUGUAGACACAGCACUCUUGCAGAUUUUGCUGUGGACUAGGGUGAGGCAUGUUCGCAAUCAUCUGGUCGACCUCUGAAUUCUACCUGCACCUUUUUGGUAUCUCUAGCAAUUGAAGAUGACAGGUGGCAGGGGCUUUGGCACAGACUCUGGCACAGCACUGGCUCUGUCAUGAAUUUCUCUCUGCUACUGGAAAACUGCUGGUGUCAUCCCCAACUCCCUUACUUGGAUGGCUGAAAACUCUAGUCACUGGGUCUUCUUUCGACCGGCUCAUGGCUAAGGAGAAUGAAGAGCUGUAGAAUGAUGAGAUUGCUCCUGGGGCUUUACACAUUUGAGGUUCUUGAUGCUGGAGAUGCUCCCAAUUUUGGUUCAUCAAUUCUCUGCUAAUGUAAUUGAUCACUUGAUCUCACUUCUUUUGUAAAUACUUUUUCAUCUUCAAUAAAAGUCGGGUGGCUAUUUACUUAGCAUACUUUUCCAUCAAAAAAAGAUCUUACUAGAUGUUACCACGCUUGUGUAAUUCUGUUUCCUUUUCUUACUAUUGCAGCCUGCAAUCUGAGCUGAGGGUAGGUAUUUCUAGUUGUCCUCACUCUCUCUCUCUCUCUCAAAAUAAUUAGACAAUCUUCUUAUGACGCCAAUAUGGUUAUCUUAUUGGAUUCUUA